This is a long non-coding RNA of Syzygium oleosum, 426 nucleotides long. RefSeq lists it as uncharacterized. The transcript is spliced from 2 exons. The record is from RefSeq and is a predicted model, not a curated record. Lineage: Eukaryota; Viridiplantae; Streptophyta; Magnoliopsida; Myrtales; Myrtaceae.
GGAAGAAGAAAGGGAAAAAAAGGUACAGGACCUGUUCGACUUGUUUACUUAUGUGAGUUACACGAGCCAAGGGGUUGGGUCAGAAUCUGGGGAUUGUGCCAUUUGCCUGGGGGAUUUCAUGGAACGUACGCAAAAUGUCCUGUUUUGAAGACGGCUACGUAAAGAGCAAGUCCAAUCAUAUGUUGACAAAAACAUUCUUUCCAGAGCAUAGACUAAUUCAGUUUGCAGAUGCUAGACCAGAUCCCAAUUAGGCCCAGUCCUAGAUGGCACCGCCGUGUAUUUUGUGGUUUACAUGCUCAACCAGGGCUCUAAGAUCGCAACGUAAAUUCCAAUAUAUGAAGCAAAUAAAGAACAACUACUUUGUCUUGCUUCAAAUUGAUGUAUUAUGUAUAGAAUUCAGAAGCAAAGUUAGUUCGGUUCUUGUUG